AGCAGCGAACCGCAGCCAGUGGGAGCCGUGAUCAGCCGAACCUGCGGAAGGGGCAGACCCCUGCAUUCUUAUAUGUCUGGCAACAAGAACACUGUAUAGAAGUGAUGGGAAGGAAGUGCAGACAGGACCAGAUAAAGGCAGAACAGGUGGCUCCUUAAGACAGGAAGACAUCAGGGGCAGGAAAAUGUCUGAGGCUGUCUAAUGUAUGAACCAGCAAUGGAGAAAUGCAGAAAAUAAUUACCUCUGCACGAAAGCAUCUUGGAAAAUUUGAAGUGACAGUGUGACUGACUGUAGUAUGUUCUGAGUUAAUUCUAUACCCGAUAAUGUAGUCACGGACAAGAUGAACACUGAUUCACUGCUAGCCUUCACCACCAUAACUUCUUGUGAUUCUUAUUCAACACAUCUUUUCAAA
Long non-coding RNA from Mauremys reevesii (Reeves's turtle), 412 nucleotides. RefSeq lists it as uncharacterized. The record is from RefSeq and is a predicted model, not a curated record. The transcript is spliced from 3 exons. NCBI's taxonomy places the organism in Eukaryota, Metazoa, Chordata, Testudines, Geoemydidae.